CGAACGGGGAUAUAUUGGAAUGAGGAUUCGUCUGAAGGAAAAUGUAUCUUAGUGGCGGACGGGUGAGUAACGCGUGGGCAACCUACCGUAUACAGGGGGAUAACACUUAGAAAUAGGUGCUAAUACCGCAUAAGCGCACAGCAGUGCAUACUGGAGUGUGAAAAGCCGAGACGGUAUACGAUGGGCCCGCGUCUGAUUAGCCAGUUGGCAGGGUAACGGCCUACCAAAGCGACGAUCAGUAGCCGGCCUGAGAGGGCGGACGGCCACAUUGGGACUGAGACACGGCCCAGACUCCUACGGGAGGCAGCAGUGGGGGAUAUUGCACAAUGGGGGGAACCCUGAUGCAGCGACGCCGCGUGAGUGAAGAAGUAAUUCGUUAUGUAAAGCUCUAUCAGCAGGGAAGAAUAAAUGACGGUACCUGAGUAAGAAGCCCCGGCUAACUACGUGCCAGCAGCCGCGGUAAUACGUAGGGGGCAAGCGUUAUCCGGAUUUACUGGGUGUAAAGGGAGCGUAGACGGCGAUGCAAGCCAGAUGUGAAAGCCCGCGGCUCAACUGCGGUAGUGCAUUUGGAACUGUAUGGCUGGAGUGCAGGAGAGGCAGGCGGAAUUCCUAGUGUAGCGGUGAAAUGCGUAGAUAUUAGGAGGAACACCAGUGGCGAAGGCGGCCUGCUGGACUGUAACUGACGU
Molecule: ribosomal RNA, 686 nt
Filed under: uncultured bacterium
Lineage: Bacteria
Description: bacterial SSU rRNA
Rfam family: Bacterial small subunit ribosomal RNA
Source: RNAcentral